This 409-nucleotide long non-coding RNA is filed under the name Mus musculus (house mouse). RNAcentral describes it as "long non-coding RNA chr10:87000296-87000705". The record is from RNAcentral. Lineage: Eukaryota; Metazoa; Chordata; Mammalia; Rodentia; Muridae.
AUACUCUUUGUCAAAUGGCCCUGCUACAUCCAGCUGCAGUGGCAAAGAGCCAUCUUCUGUAAGCGGCUCAAAGUACUCCCUGCUAUUAAUCAGUUCACCCAGGCCCUGGUCAGGCAAACAGCCACUCACACUGCUUAAGCUUGCCCACAAGUACAGGCCAGAGACAAAGUAAGAGAAGAAGCAAAGGCUACUGGCCCGUGCUGAGAAGAAAGCUGCUGGCAAAGGAGAUGUCCCAACUAAGCGACCACCUGUCCUCUGAGCAGGAGUCAAUAUAGUCACCACCUUGGUGGUGAACAAGAAGGCUCAGCUGAUGGUGAUGGCCCAUGAUGUAGACCCCACUGAGCUGGUGGGUUUCCUGCUCAGGUUAACUUGGAAGACAAGGAUGCUCUGGCUAAGCUGGCGGAAGCUA